Molecule: microRNA precursor, 106 nt
Filed under: Hordeum vulgare
Lineage: Eukaryota; Viridiplantae; Streptophyta; Magnoliopsida; Poales; Poaceae
Description: miR6208 stem-loop (hvu-MIR6208)
Source: miRBase by way of RNAcentral
AUACAGGUGCAGAGGCGCUUGUUUUGGUGUACGAAGUACGAGACAGUCGACAGUUGAGGCGACACGACCAGAAAGUGCAUCAAGAUCGGCUCAUCUGCACUCGUUG